RNAcentral lists this transfer RNA (86 nucleotides) under Planosporangium flavigriseum. RNAcentral describes it as "tRNA-Gly". Lineage: Bacteria; Bacillati; Actinomycetota; Actinomycetes; Micromonosporales; Micromonosporaceae. The record is from RNAcentral.
UACGACCGUGGCGUGGACGCCUGGGUGCUCCCGCUGCCCACGAUCGACCCCCAGAUCGUGGCCCGUUCGGCGCAGAUGCUCGAGGC